RNAcentral lists this ribosomal RNA (599 nucleotides) under bacterium. Its description in RNAcentral is "bacterial SSU rRNA". It matches the Rfam family "Bacterial small subunit ribosomal RNA", at positions 847 to 1446 of the family's 1533-position model. The record is from RNAcentral.
CGGAGCUAACGCGUUAAGUCGACCGCCUGGGGAGUACGGCCGCAAGGUUAAAACUCAAAUGAAUUGACGGGGGCCCGCACAAGCGGUGGAGCAUGUGGUUUAAUUCGAUGCAACGCGAAGAACCUUACCUACUCUUGACAUCCACGGAAUUCGGCAGAGAUGCCUUAGUGCCUUCGGGAACCGUGAGACAGGUGCUGCAUGGCUGUCGUCAGCUCGUGUUGUGAAAUGUUGGGUUAAGUCCCGCAACGAGCGCAACCCUUAUCCUUUGUUGCCAGCGAUUCGGUCGGGAACUCAAAGGAGACUGCCGGUGAUAAACCGGAGGAAGGUGGGGAUGACGUCAAGUCAUCAUGGCCCUUACGAGUAGGGCUACACACGUGCUACAAUGGCGCAUACAAAGAGAAGCGACCUCGCGAGAGCAAGCGGACCUCACAAAGUGCGUCGUAGUCCGGAUCGGAGUCUGCAACUCGACUCCGUGAAGUCGGAAUCGCUAGUAAUCGUGGAUCAGAAUGCCACGGUGAAUACGUUCCCGGGCCUUGUACACACCGCCCGUCACACCAUGGGAGUGGGUUGCAAAAGAAGUAGGUAGCUUAACCUUCGGG